UGUGCACCGGUGUGGUCCCUCAGCCUGGCCUGUGCCCUCUCACAAUCCGAGGCCCCUCGGGGGAUGUUGGAGAGCUGGUUUCAGCCCCGUCCCACAGGCCAGGCUGAGGGACCCCACUGGUGCACG
Molecule: microRNA precursor, 126 nt
Filed under: Myotis lucifugus (little brown bat)
Lineage: Eukaryota; Metazoa; Chordata; Mammalia; Chiroptera; Vespertilionidae
Description: mir-9193 microRNA precursor family
Rfam family: mir-9193 microRNA precursor family
Source: Rfam by way of RNAcentral